RNAcentral lists this transfer RNA (92 nucleotides) under Candidatus Babela massiliensis. Its description in RNAcentral is "tRNA-Ser (TGA) (tRNA-Ser-TGA-1-1)". It matches the Rfam family "tRNA". Rfam says of the family: Transfer RNA (tRNA) molecules are approximately 80 nucleotides in length. Lineage: Bacteria; Candidatus Babeliae; Candidatus Babeliales; Candidatus Babeliaceae. The record is from RNAcentral.
GGAGAGAUGGCUGAGCGGUCUAAAGCGACGGUCUUGAAAACCGUUAUCUCGAGUGAUCGGGAUCGAGGGUUCGAAUCCCUCUCUCUCCUCCA